Molecule: ribosomal RNA, 492 nt
Filed under: uncultured bacterium
Lineage: Bacteria
Description: partial 16S ribosomal RNA
Rfam family: Bacterial small subunit ribosomal RNA
Source: RNAcentral
AGUGAACGCUGGCGGUAGGCCUAACACAUGCAAGUCGAACGGCAGCACAGUAAGAGCUUGCUCUUACGGGUGGCGAGUGGCGGACGGGUGAGGAAUACAUCGGAAUCUACUUUUUCGUGGGGGAUAACGUAGGGAAACUUACGCUAAUACCGCAUACGACCUACGGGUGAAGGCAGGGGAUCUUCGGACCUUGCGCGAUUGAAUGAGCCGAUGUCGGAUUAGCUAGUUGGCGGGGUAAAGGCCCACCAAGGCGACGAUCCGUAGCUGGCCUGAGAGGAUGAUCAGCCACACUGGAACUGAGACACGGUCCAGACUCCUACGGGAGGCAGCAGUGGGGAAUAUUGGACAAUGGGCGCAAGCCUGAUCCAGCCAUACCGCGUGGGUGAAGAAGGCCUUCGGGUUGUAAAGCCCUUUUGUUGGGAAAGAAAAGCAGCAGGUUAAUACCCCGCUGUUCUGACGGUACCCAAAGAAUAAGCACCGGCUAACUUCGUG